AUGGACACUACAUAGAGGAAAUUUGUUGAUGGUGUGAUACAGUUUGGGAGACAUGAAAGCUAUGGGGAUGAAGACCUUGAAAGGGAAAUGCAUGGCGAUUUCUUCUUCCUUAUUUCUUUCCCCCUGGUUUACUUCUCUUCAGUUUCUAUUCUUGGGUGCUGUCUCCUUGUUAUUGAGAAUACAGCCAGGUGCAGUGGCACACACCUGUAAUCACAGCAAUUUAUGAAGCUGAGGCAAGAAGAUCUCAAGUUCGAGGUUUGCUUCAGCAACUUAAUGAGAUCUGCAGCAACUUAACAAUACCUUGUCUCAUUCAUAAGGGCACUGUCAGAAUCUUCCCAGAACAAGAUGCUGAGUGGCAUUGGGAGUCUUGUGCUGGGACUGAUCUUUCUUGGCUUGGGCCUUACUGUCUACUUUUGGCAUAAGAAAGAUGCAGAGACUUUGCUCACUACCUUCAGUGACUGACUCAGUGGCUUUGGGG
Ictidomys tridecemlineatus (thirteen-lined ground squirrel) is the source of this 478-nucleotide non-coding RNA. NCBI's taxonomy places the organism in Eukaryota, Metazoa, Chordata, Mammalia, Rodentia, Sciuridae. The record is from RefSeq and is a predicted model, not a curated record.